Molecule: ribosomal RNA, 253 nt
Filed under: uncultured bacterium
Lineage: Bacteria
Description: partial 16S ribosomal RNA
Rfam family: Bacterial small subunit ribosomal RNA
Source: RNAcentral
UACGUAGGGUGCAAGCGUUGUCCGGAAUUAUUGGGCGGAAAGAGCUUGUAGGCGGUUUGUCGCGUCUGCUGUGAAAUUUCGGGGCUCAACCCCGAACUUGCAGUGGGUACGGGCAGACUAGAGUGUGGUAGGGGAGACUGGAAUUCCUGGUGUAGCGGUGAAAUGCGCAGAUAUCAGGAGGAACACCGAUGGCGAAGGCAGGUCUCUGGGCCAUAACUGACGCUGAGAAGCGAAAGCAUGGGGAGCGAACAGG